Molecule: ribosomal RNA, 425 nt
Filed under: uncultured bacterium
Lineage: Bacteria
Description: bacterial SSU rRNA
Rfam family: Bacterial small subunit ribosomal RNA
Source: RNAcentral
GUGGGGAAUAUUGGACAAUGGGCGCAAGCCUGAUCUAGCCAUGCCGCGUGAGCGAUGAAGGCCUUAGGGUUGUAAAGCUCUUUCAGUGGGGAAGAUAAUGACUGUACCCACAGAAGAAGCCCCGGCUAACUCCGUGCCAGCAGCCGCGGUAAUACGGAGGGGGCUAGCGUUGUUCGGAAUUACUGGGCGUAAAGCGCACGUAGGCGGACUGGAAAGUCAGGGGUGAAAUCCCGGGGCUCAACCCCGGAACUGCCUUUGAAACUCCCAGUCUUGAGGUCGAGAGAGGUGAGUGGAAUUCCGAGUGUAGAGGUGAAAUUCGUAGAUAUUCGGAGGAACACCAGUGGCGAAGGCGGCUCACUGGCUCGAUACUGACGCUGAGGUGCGAAAGCGUGGGGAGCAAACAGGAUUAGAAACCCGUGUAGUCC